GAAGUUUAUUAGGCAAAAUUUUGAGUCUGUGAAAAUGAUUUUUAUGUGAAUCUAGGGUAAGUCUAGUGGCUGUGUUAGACUUUGCUUCUACAGGAAACUUUUGGCAUGCAAAUGAUGGCUUUGCUUACACUAUAAACAAAGCUUGUUAGAUUUUCUUAAAAAAAAUUUAACCAUUGUUUUUUUCUUGUCCAAAAUUAUAUUUCAUACCUUAUGUUCUGGUGAUGGUUGUUUUGAGUUUUCUUUGUUGUGAUGAUAAAGAAUACCGACAUUGUCGCAAUUGUGCUGUGAAGUGUACGAGUUUCUGUGAUAGAACACGAGAAAAUUCAAAUGGAAAUAAGUGA
RNAcentral lists this long non-coding RNA (341 nucleotides) under Medicago truncatula (barrel medic). RNAcentral describes it as "lncRNA gene36062". Lineage: Eukaryota; Viridiplantae; Streptophyta; Magnoliopsida; Fabales; Fabaceae. The record is from RNAcentral.